This is a long non-coding RNA of Salvia splendens (bonfire salvia), 2353 nucleotides long. RefSeq lists it as uncharacterized. Lineage: Eukaryota; Viridiplantae; Streptophyta; Magnoliopsida; Lamiales; Lamiaceae. The transcript is spliced from 3 exons. The record is from RefSeq and is a predicted model, not a curated record.
UCAAGCAAUCUGUUAUAUAUAAGCAAGCAAUCCUGCCACGUGGCAGGUGUAAUACCUCGACUUUUUAUUCCUUUUAAUUUGUUUUUGAAAGGACGUCGUUUGUGCACAUGAAUUUUUUUUGCCCGUUGCUUCUUUUAUCGAGAGAAUGAUUUUACAGUUUGAGCUUAAACAAUUAUUUUUUUCAGUGUCCAACCAUUUUUCUUAUUCUUCUCGAGCUCAAUUCAACCCUGCCCAAUUGAUUCUCUAAUUCUGUCGUGUGUUUUUCACAAAGCUGUUACCACAAAAUCUGCAUUAGAGAAAAGAAUUCAGAUCGUAUAUUUUCCUCAAUCACACGAUCUCUCUCCACAUUCAUUCAAUUUCAGAGAAACCGUGAAUUCUCCCAUGAUCUGCAGUUACAAGUGUUCGGUUUACAUCUAGUGCCCCAUUCUCUAAAAUUGGAGAAACUCCAUCUCCUCACAGUUUGUUCGAGAGUGUCUGGUGAGAAAUCGAAAGAGGAAGUGAGAGAUAGAGACCGAGAGUGAAGGGGGUGAGACAGCAGCAAGCAGAGGGCACCACAUCAAUUAAAGGCGGUGUCUCAGUGGCUGAACGACGCGCUGACGGAGAAGGCUGGAAAAGAGAAAAAGGAGAAGAAAUUUGGGGACGAAAGAGAGAAGGUUUGGGCCUUUGUUUUAUCUAAUGUCGGGGCCGAAUGAUUAAUUUUAAGAUUUGGGCCUACUGUUUUGAUAAGGAGAUGAAUUGGAGUUAAUUAGGUUUGGGCCGGAGUACAUCAGGCGACUUUUCGAGAACGGAGCAGGAGGACAAGUAAGCUUGUGAUGGUGAAGAUUUGUGUAUUCUUCUCUCGAAUGUUUUCACCGAAUGUUGUUUCUUUUGAGUUCAUAUAUUGAUGAGAUAUUGUAUCCCUUUGGGUUGUUAAUUGUUGAGAUGAUACUCUUAUUUUACUCAAGUUAUUCUCGUUUAUUUCUAGCUAUAGUCGAGUUGUGUUGUUAUCCCCUUUCUUCCCAUCUUCUUUAACACUCCCCUAGUCACGAUCAACCGUAUUUUCUAUCCUUAGAAACUGCGGGCGUGAAUCUGCUCCUAAAUCUAAGAGUCCUCGUUGGUGGUAUGUUGUCAUUUGAAAUAGACUAAAGACCAAACGUGGUCCUGCAUUUUUAUGAUUUUGAUCCUAGAAAUUACUUUUUGAAUUUUUCGGUUCUAUACAUUUAAGCACUUUAAUUAUGAUUUUUUUAAAAUAAAAAAUAAAAAUAAAAACUCUCGUCUCUUUCAUUGUGCUUCCUUGCCGCUUCUCCUUCACCACCGCUACUACCGAAAACUGAACUCAAAACAGUAGGAGAUCGAACCUAUCCAUUUCCGUGGAGUCGCACAGAAGAAAGCACUCCAAGGCCCCUUCCUCUUCAUUCUCGCGCCGACGUUGUGCUCUCCGGAGGCGACAAAGCCAAGUUCCAGCCAGUCGAGUAUGCCGAGAUUUGAGCCAACCGGGAGCUCCGAGACACGAUGAACUGUCGGUGUCCAUUUACAAGUCUCUCGAGCCCAUUAACGGGUCGCAGCUCGACGAAGCGAAGCUCCGAUUCAACACAUUGAAAUCCAAAUUCGUUGAGAUUUUCGGCCACGUCCCUCAGAGAUCAUUGAGGGAUCACUUGGCUAUUUCAAAAGGCCAGUUGUUGCGGUACCUUCGUUGAUCUAUUUAUUAUUAAUAAUCAGAUAAUAUAAGAUUUUACACAUGUUUUACUUUACUAAGGAAUUAUGUCGUUUGCUGCAUUAUAUUCAAAGCUUAUUUUAACUGUCAACUUAAGUAGUUUUUGUAGGUGCUUUUCAUUCUGAAAAUCUAUUGCUCAAAGCCUGAAACAGAGGGAACUGAGACGCUCCCAUCACUCCAAUCUGAUAUAGCAGCUCGAGCAUAAUCAAUUGGGUGAUGAACAAGAGAUUCAAGUUCUGCCCAAGCUUGACACCAUGCUCCUUUUAGGACACACCGGAUAACUUCAAGAACGAGCAAGAAAGGGUUUAAGGGGGUAGACAAGUGGUGGCUGUCUACAAUCAAUGUUCUGCCAAACGGCCCCUCAAAAGAGUCCUCUUCAUGCACAAGUACAAGGAUCAAUGUUCAGCCAUAACUUAUCAUCUGAGAUCAAAGUGGUUGAUGUGAAGAACAGAAAUGAAGCAUCUACUAUGAUAUGGAAGAGGAAAAUGAAUCAAAUGGAUUGCAAGGCUUCAUGGUUGUAAGUACAGAGAAGAGAGCUAGGGUUGUUUAACUUUAAGGACAGGCUAGAGAUAUUCUUGAAUAUUUUGAAUUCAAAUGAAUUGUAAAACAAUGUUAUUUAAUUUAAUGUCCUUUAAAUUUAUUUACUUUAUUUAUUAUUCA